RNAcentral lists this long non-coding RNA (311 nucleotides) under Ictidomys tridecemlineatus (thirteen-lined ground squirrel). RNAcentral describes it as "lncRNA (ENSSTOG00000033044.1)". The record is from RNAcentral. Lineage: Eukaryota; Metazoa; Chordata; Mammalia; Rodentia; Sciuridae.
GUCCUCGCUCCCACUGCCUGGUGGCUCUUUCCACCGCCUUAGUUAUCCGAGUUCCUGUGCGAAGGGGUGCGACCUUGUGCAAACGUUGGAAUACACGGACAAGGAUAUUAAAACCCCACCAUUCUGCACGCGUGAGCCGUCCCGGUUCACGUUUUAGGGUGCUGCCAGUUCUGUGGACACAGUGUUGCAAGAUCAGUGGGAGCAACCUCGUGGCCUGCCUUCUUGCGACAGCAGGGUGAGGAGCCCAGAAGCCUGCCCAGGCCCCUUACUGGUGAGUACUGGAUCUGUGUGGACUACACUGGACCCAGAAA